UAGGGAAUCUUCGGCAAUGGGGGGAACCCUGACCGAGCAACGCCGCGUGAGUGAAGAAGGUUUUCGGAUCGUAAAGCUCUGUUGUUAAGGAAGAACGAGUGUGAGAAUGGAAAGUUCAUACUGUGACGGUACUUAACCAGAAAGGGACGGCUAACUACGUGCCAGCAGCCGCGGUAAUACGUAGGUCCCGAGCGUUGUCCGGAUUUAUUGGGCGUAAAGCGAGCGCAGGCGGUUAGAAAAGUCUGAAGUGAAAGGCAGUGGCUCAACCAUUGUAGGCUUUGGAAACUGUUUAACUUGAGUGCAGAAGGGGAGAGUGGAAUUCCAUGUGUAGCGGUGAAAUGCGUAGAUAUAUGGAGGAACACCGGUGGCGAAAGCGGCUCUCUGGUCUGUAACUGACGCUGAGGCUCGAAAGCGUGGGGAGCGAACAGGAUUAGAUACCCUGGUAGUCCACGCCGUAAACGAUGAGUGCUAGGUGUUAGGUCCUUUCCGGGACUUAGUGCCGCAGCUAACGCAUUAAGCACUCCGCCUGGGGAGUACGACCGCAAGGUUG
RNAcentral lists this ribosomal RNA (550 nucleotides) under uncultured bacterium. RNAcentral's name for it is "bacterial SSU rRNA". It matches the Rfam family "Bacterial small subunit ribosomal RNA", at positions 355 to 896 of the family's 1533-position model. The record is from RNAcentral.